CUCUGAGCACGGCGGUCACGCGAGUCUUGGAUUCCGUCUUGAGGCGCCAACGCCUUCAGGUCCUAGGAUUGUCGGGAAAACUCUAGAAAACACGUUAGAAUACGUUAUAGCCCAUUUGACGAUGGUCCCUUUCCUCUAUCACCUAGUUAGGGCGGCUGGGGAAAAAACUAGCAAAAACUGUGAAAGGAAAAACCAUUCUCUCGAAGCAGAGCCUGAGUUCCGCUUGCUCAGCGCCAGCUCCCACUACAAAUACAUUCGCACCACGGAGGGGAAACACCUCUGACUUUAUCCUACAGAUAAUCCAAACUCUGAAGAGAAACUCGGGAAUUGGUGGUGAAAAGAAACGGGGAAUCCGGGGCAGGAAGCGAAAAGGUCACCAACCGAGGCAAUGCAAAGUUCAGACCUUGUAGUUAAUCAAGCAAUCUGAAGAGCUGGAGGCAGUGCUAGAGAGUGAAAAAGGCAGCCGGGCAGGCAGGCCAGGGUGGCCUUGUGGCCCUGGAGGAGGGCCCUUCUCCCUCAGCAUUGGGGAGCCUUCACUGGCCCAGCUAUCAGCUCACCCCCGAGCCCAACACAGAGCACAAGGAUGCGGCAUCAAGCCGAGUCUCAGGAUUCUGACCUGCAACAAAAUCCUGCCAUGAUUGGACAGAACCCCCAGAUUCUUCUCAGCCUUGACCCCCUUCUCUGGAGAUAAGAAUGUUCUUUUCAUCCAGGUGCAAGAAAAGUCUUCUUUUCAUGAAAUGACUAUCCUCAAAGCACAAACUUAGCCUCACAUAUUCCAAGAUGUCUUCAUCUUUCCUCAUAACUCCCAUAUUGCAAGUGACUGACUUGUUACCUGUGGCUAUAAAACCCCAGACUCCCCCUUUUUCUUUGAGAGAUCCUCAAUAAAUUUUCUAAUGCAAUCA
Molecule: long non-coding RNA, 902 nt
Organism: Hyaena hyaena (striped hyena)
Lineage: Eukaryota; Metazoa; Chordata; Mammalia; Carnivora; Hyaenidae
Exons: 5
Source: RefSeq, a predicted model, not a curated record